AUGUCUUCAUCCUCCGGCGCCGCUCAACCUAGCCUCAAUGGCCAGGUCACCGAGAAGCUCAAUCGCACGAACUACGUGCUGUGGCGCACGCAGGUCACACCCCACCUGCGGGGCGCCGGUGUCUUCGGCUACGUUAACGACACCGCGCCGGAGCUGGCCAGACUCCACGUCACCAAAGACAAGGACGACAAGGAGUCUUCUGAGCCCAACCCUCUCCACCCACUUUGGGUCCGGUAGGAUCAA
This 243-nucleotide ribosomal RNA is filed under the name Triticum aestivum (bread wheat). Its description in RNAcentral is "partial small subunit ribosomal RNA". Lineage: Eukaryota; Viridiplantae; Streptophyta; Magnoliopsida; Poales; Poaceae. The record is from RNAcentral.